This 253-nucleotide ribosomal RNA is filed under the name uncultured bacterium. RNAcentral's name for it is "partial 16S ribosomal RNA". It matches the Rfam family "Bacterial small subunit ribosomal RNA", at positions 524 to 776 of the family's 1533-position model. The record is from RNAcentral.
UACGUAGGAUGCAAGCGUUGUUCGGAAUUACUGGGCGUAAAGAGUACGUAGGCGGUUUACUAAGUCUGUUAUUAAAGACCGAAGCUCAACUUCGGGAAUGUAAUGGAAACUGGUAGACUAGAGGUCAGAAGGGGAAAUCGGAAUUCUUAGUGUAGCGGUGAAAUGCGUAGAUAUUAGGAAGAACACCAGUGGCGAAAGCGGAUUUCUGGUCUGAAACUGACGCUGAGGUACGAAGGCGUGGGGAGCAAACGGG